Alosa alosa (allis shad) is the source of this 576-nucleotide long non-coding RNA. RefSeq lists it as uncharacterized. The transcript is spliced from 3 exons. NCBI's taxonomy places the organism in Eukaryota, Metazoa, Chordata, Actinopteri, Clupeiformes, Clupeidae. The record is from RefSeq and is a predicted model, not a curated record.
AGAGGGACCAGCUACAAUCAUCCAAGCAUGCGCAAAUGAGUUCUACUACUCUGGAAUUUCCCACCAAGAGUCACGACCGUCACGACGUUGUUUGUGGUAUUUUGUUUCAGGCUUAAAACUAAAUGCAGUGCCGCUAUUGUAAAUGUACACAUCUGCAGCAAGACAUCCUGCUUACUGUAGCUAUUUCAUGCCAUGAACAUGGGGAUCCUGGAAGUAACUGACAGUUCUACCAACUCAGGACCAUAUCCCACAGUGGUCAAUGUGGCUGUAGUACUGGAGGAGGAAGUUGUCAUGGACAAUCUGGGAGACUUCCCAAAUGCCCUCAUGAUGCUCUUUGGUCUGCUUUAUGCUCUUUGGUCUGCUUUAUGCUCUAAAUAUGGAGUACCCUAAGGACUUAAGGUACACAUUCAAGGCAGUCCAGACGAUUCUCUUAAACCUGGGGAAAAGUGCACAGCAAGGAUACAGUCCUUGAAGAAAGAGUUAUUACAGGUGUAAUGGUCAUUACAGUACAUGUUAAUUGCCAGUCAUUGAGGUAUUUUGAGGUAUCAAAGGUUUCAUGCAAAUGUUUCUGUUAAA